CUAGAAAACCCCAUGGACAAAGGGCCAUGAGGUCACAUAGAGUUGGAUACUACUGAACAACUGAACAACAGUGUUAGCUUUACCACGAAUUCCACUAAGCCGUUGUUUGAACCAGUAAGAAACUUUAUUAACAGCCUGGGAAGACCCGGACGUCCCACACGUGGGAGCACAUGUGUCAACAGAUGCACACCUUUUUAUUCCCUAUUCCCGAUUCAAAUUUCCCUCCCCUGUUUCUCUAUUGGCUAGGUAUUAUGGAGGUUACAGCCUGGCCGAAGCACCUAAUUUCCCCAUGUGAGUCUCCGUCCCUAAUUCCCACUCCCCACCAUUUGGGGACCCAGGCCCUCAUCUGCUUUCGCUUUUAUUUGGGAACACCCCUUUUGAUGUUAAUCUAUACCUAGCCUCACUUACCAAUAGUGUUUUCUUAUUCUAAUUUAUGGCUUCCUUUGUUCGACUUCCACCUAACCCUUAGAUUGACUUUUGUGGAAAUGAAAACUAGCUAUUUCUCAUAUUCCCUCCCAGUUCAAACUGACUCCAAUGCUCUAUAGGUGUCCACAUCCUGAUGAAUGAUGUGCAGAAAUAACCUCCCCAGCCACAUUUUCCACAACAGCAAAUACAUCAAGUUAUAUUACUUAGACCAAUUCUAAUGUGACUUGUAGCUCUAAAUCUUAUGAAAUAGGUGAACACAGGCCCAUGAAGGGUCAAAUAAUAUGUGAUCAUCUCAAAACUCAAACUAUUGAUAGCCCAUUGUUGGAAAGAGGAAGUCAGUGGUCUGCAUGAAUAAUUCCUUUGGGAAAAUCCUGAGCCAUAUUGGGGUAUGACCUCUUCUUGGCUAGAUGAUAAGGAAAGAAAAAAAAAGGCCCAAACAAAAUAAACUACAAGGAAUUGAAAUCCCUCCCCAAGAGACUGGAUAAUGUAGUUUCAGGGAAUAUCUCUGGGAGGAGAUAAUCAGUGUGAUCAAGGAAGGCUUCAUCAGUUCCAGAAGGAAAUCUUCAGAGACUUUCUUCCUGCCAUACAUGAAGGACCAAAGGAGACCAAGCCUGAAGCUUGUGAGUCAGAGCUCACAAUGAAGCUUAAAAUGAUCAAUCAAACUUUGACAAAGCUCCCAAUUACUGCCUGUGUGCCGGAAGUGAAGUGAAUCAAAGAUUGUAGAACCUGUUCCCAGCAUAGAACUUUGGCUCUGUGCCCUAGGAGAGGUGGCCAAGGCCCCCAAAGACUUGACUCCAGAAGUGCAGUAUUGUAAGAUUUGUGGGUUUCUUCUCUAGGGGAAACCACUAAAGAUUGUUUGUAAUCCACCUUCCCAUUUGUGAUUUAAGUAUAUAAUCUCUGUCUUCACUUCUGCUAGGUGGAAUUCUGAUCAGGAGAAUUCCUGAUUUGCAAAUCUGUUCCUCAUAAUGAACCUAAUUGAUUAAAGGACUACCUGAUUACUGGCA
This is a non-coding RNA of Phascolarctos cinereus (koala), 1430 nucleotides long. The record is from RefSeq and is a predicted model, not a curated record. Lineage: Eukaryota; Metazoa; Chordata; Mammalia; Diprotodontia; Phascolarctidae.